GACGAACGCUGGCGGCGUGCCUAAUACAUGCAAGUCGAACGAGAGCGACCGGUGCUUGCACUGGUCAAUCUAGUGGCGAACGGGUGAGUAACACGUGGGUAACCUGCCCAUCAGAGGGGGAUAACAUCCGGAAACGGAUGCUAAAACCGCAUAGGUCUUCGAGCCGCAUGGCUUGAAGAGGAAAAGAGGCGCAAGCUUCUGCUGAUGGAUGGACCCGCGGUGCAUUAGCUAGUUGGUGAGGUAACGGCUCACCAAGGCCGUGAUGCAUAGCCGACCUGAGAGGGUGAUCGGCCACAUUGGGACUGAGACACGGCCCAAACUCCUACGGGAGGCAGCAGUAGGGAAUCUUCCGCAAUGGACGCAAGUCUGACGGAGCAACGCCGCGUGAGUGAAGAAGGUUUUCGGAUCGUAAAACUCUGUUGUUAGAGAAGAACAAGUGCUAGAGUAACUGUUCGCGCCUUGACGGUAUCUAACCAGAAAGCCACGGCUAACUACGUG
This 498-nucleotide ribosomal RNA is filed under the name uncultured bacterium. RNAcentral describes it as "partial 16S ribosomal RNA". It matches the Rfam family "Bacterial small subunit ribosomal RNA", at positions 28 to 507 of the family's 1533-position model. The record is from RNAcentral.